This 218-nucleotide long non-coding RNA is filed under the name Elaeis guineensis (African oil palm). RNAcentral's name for it is "long non-coding RNA (EGUI_LNC022567)". The record is from RNAcentral. Lineage: Eukaryota; Viridiplantae; Streptophyta; Magnoliopsida; Arecales; Arecaceae.
GCUGGAAAAUCAAUACAUAAGAAGACAUCGGUUGCCUCCUGGAUUAUCAUGAGAAUCUUAUAGCUCUCCAAGUGGUCGAUCAAAUCAGUGGAGCCAUUGUAUGACUCCAUCUGUGGCAUCUUGAAUCGAGAGAGAGUCGGUUCAUCCAAAAUGCGUCAGGAGAGAGACUGGGUAGUGUGGAAGUCAUAGUCAUUAGAAGACUUUCAACCUUUCACUUA